This 1146-nucleotide ribosomal RNA is filed under the name Bacillus subtilis. RNAcentral's name for it is "bacterial SSU rRNA". It matches the Rfam family "Bacterial small subunit ribosomal RNA", at positions 37 to 1217 of the family's 1533-position model. Lineage: Bacteria; Bacillati; Bacillota; Bacilli; Caryophanales; Bacillaceae. The record is from RNAcentral.
UGGCGCGUGCCUAAUACAUGCAAGUCGAGCGGACAGAUGGGAGCUUGCUCCCUGAUGUUAGCGGCGGACGGGUGAGUAACACGUGGGUAACCUGCCUGUAAGACUGGGAUAACUCCGGGAAACCGGGGCUAAUACCGGAUGGUUGUUUGAACCGCAUGGUUCAAACAUAAAAGGUGGCUUCGGCUACCACUUACAGAUGGACCCGCGGCGCAUUAGCUAGUUGGUGAGGUAACGGCUCACCAAGGCAACGAUGCGUAGCCGACCUGAGAGGGUGAUCGGCCACACUGGGACUGAGACACGGCCCAGACUCCUACGGGAGGCAGCAGUAGGGAAUCUUCCGCAAUGGACGAAAGUCUGACGGAGCAACGCCGCGUGAGUGAUGAAGGUUUUCGGAUCGUAAAGCUCUGUUGUUAGGGAAGAACAAGUACCGUUCGAAUAGGGCGGUACCUUGACGGUACCUAACCAGAAAGCCACGGCUAACUACGUGCCAGCAGCCGCGGUAAUACGUAGGUGGCAAGCGUUGUCCGGAAUUAUUGGGCGUAAAGGGCUCGCAGGCGGUUUCUUAAGUCUGAUGUGAAAGCCCCCGGCUCAACCGGGGAGGGUCAUUGGAAACUGGGGAACUUGAGUGCAGAAGAGGAGAGUGGAAUUCCACGUGUAGCGGUGAAAUGCGUAGAGAUGUGGAGGAACACCAGUGGCGAAGGCGACUCUCUGGUCUGUAACUGACGCUGAGGAGCGAAAGCGUGGGGAGCGAACAGGAUUAGAUACCCUGGUAGUCCACGCCGUAAACGAUGAGUGCUAAGUGUUAGGGGGUUUCCGCCCCUUAGUGCUGCAGCUAACGCAUUAAGCACUCCGCCUGGGGAGUACGGUCGCAAGACUGAAACUCGGAAUUGACGGGGGCCCGCACAAGCGGUGGAGCAUGUGGUUUAAUUCGAAGCAACGCGAAGAACCUUACCAGGUCUUGACAUCCUCUGACAUCCUAGAGAUAGGACGUCCCCUUCGGGGCAGAGUGACGUGGUCAUGGUUGUCGUCAGCUCGUGUCGAGAGUUGGGUAAGUCCCCAACGACCACCCGAUCUUAUGCCAGCAUUAGUUGGGUCUAAGGUGACUGCUGACGAGGGGGUGACGUAUCUGCCCUUAUGACCUGGUAC